This 1220-nucleotide long non-coding RNA is filed under the name Lactuca sativa (garden lettuce). RNAcentral describes it as "long non-coding RNA (LSAT_LNC006038)". Lineage: Eukaryota; Viridiplantae; Streptophyta; Magnoliopsida; Asterales; Asteraceae. The record is from RNAcentral.
AAUCAUUUUUUAAAUCGCUGAUCAAGGUACAUAAAUAAUUCAGUUUCUUAAUUUUGUUGGAUUCAAACCGUCAUUUUCCCGAAAAGCCCUUUGACCUUUGACCUGAAGGCAUCUAACAUAUCAGAAUAUCAGAUGACGUUUUUCCAGAAAACCAUUUGACCUCACCUCAACAUAAAGAUAAAGUUGAUUGUUUUGUCAUGUCUCUAAAAGCCAAACAAAAGGGGAUUAUCAAAUUACAUAAAGUCUUGAGUCAAAAAGAACCCGACGAACGACACAAUGAAGUUCUAACGAAUUCAUCACAAAGAAAAAAUGGAAUCAACAAGAAAUCGUAAAAUUAUUUCGAAGAAUAAGCAUGGAUCAAGUUUUAUACUGCUCUGUUUCUCUGUAAUCAGUAAAAUUAUGCGUUAUUGCGAACUAAUUACAGAAUUCUGAUAUAGUCGAUGACAAAAUCGAAUUGAUCUAAUAUUACACUGUACAAGCUAUUUACAGUAAAGGCAAAGCAGUAUCAAAUUAAUCAUACAAAGAAAUAAACUUAUAACAAACAAAAACAUGAAUAGAAUAAAUAUAAAAGAAAUAGUAAUCCAGCAAUCCGAUGCAUACCGGAUUGAAAUCGGACUCCACUAGUAAGAUCAAUCGUCAAUUCGUCAUCUUCCGGAAUCAGAAACUCCGUCUGAAGCUAAUCCACAGUCGGAAGGAGUUAAAGGUGAGCUCGUACAUGGUGAGCUACCGUACCCUUCUUUUUUCCCUCCUUUGUUCUUCAUCAACAUGUUCGUCGCCUUCGAAGCAACAGAAACAGCUGAAUUCACAAUUUGGCCAACGAUCUUCCGCUUGAUUUCUCCUCGCCUCGGUGGAAUCAUCGUCUUCUUCUUCGAUCUGUUCGGGUGUUUGUAGUAUGAUGAUGAUGAUGAUGAUGAUGAUGAUGAUGAUGAUGCAGGCUCCAUCUCUACAGAGCUUGUGAGAAACAUCUAACAAUGAAAUCGAAUUUGGGAGAAAUUUGAAAGAAAUUUUGUUCGAAUUUGAAUGUUUGAGAGAGAAGGGAGUAGUGCGAGUGUUUAUAUAGGAGGGUAGACUCGAGUGUGAGCGGACUCACUCACUCACUAGCUUCGUCUCCACGUUUGUCUUAGUAAUGUACAUAUUUAGAACCCCUUGAACUUCGGUUAAAAGAAUUUCACGUCCUUCAACUUCCAGUUAUGCCAAGAAAUGCCCCUUAAGUAUUUACA